This 497-nucleotide ribosomal RNA is filed under the name uncultured bacterium. RNAcentral describes it as "partial 16S ribosomal RNA". It matches the Rfam family "Bacterial small subunit ribosomal RNA", at positions 28 to 507 of the family's 1533-position model. The record is from RNAcentral.
GAUGAACGCUGGCGGCGUGCCUAAUACAUGCAAGUCGAGCGAACAGACGAGGAGCUUGCUCCUCUGACGUUAGCGGCGGACGGGUGAGUAACACGUGGAUAACCUACCUAUAAGACUGGGAAAACUUCGGGAAACCGGAGCUAAUACCGGAUAAUAUAUUGAACCGCAUGGUUCAAUAGUGAAAGACGGUUUUGCUGUAUCUUAUAGAUGGAUCCGCGCCGCAUUAGCUAGUUGGUAAGGUAACGGCUUACCAAGGCGACGAUGCGUAGCCGACCUGAGGGGGGGAUCGGCCGCACGGGAGCGGGGACACGGUCCAGGCGCCUGCGAGAGGCAGCAGUAGGGAAUCUUCCGCAAUGGGCGAAAGCCUGACGGAGCGACGCCGCGUGAGUGAUGAAGGUCUUCGGAUCGUAAAACUCUGUUAUUAGGGAAGAACAAAUGUGUAAGUAACUAUGCACGUCUUGACGGUACCUAAUCAGAAAGCCACGGCUAACUACGUG